GUGAGGAAUAUUGGUCAAUGGACGGAAGUCUGAACCAGCCAAGUAGCGUGCAGGAUGACGGCCCUAUGGGUUGUAAACUGCUUUUAUGCGGGGGUAAAGUGAGUGACGUGUCAUUCAUUGCAAGUACCGCAAGAAUAAGGACCGGCUAAUUCCGUGCCAGCAGCCGCGGUAAUACGGAAGGUCCUGGUGUUAUCCGGAUUUAUUGGGUUUAAAGGGAGCGUAGGCCGUCAGGCCAGCGUGUUGUGAAAUGUCGUGGCUCAACCAUGGACUUGCAGCGCGAACUGCCCGACUUGAGUGCGCAGAAAGCAGGCGGAAUUUGUGGUGUAGCGGUGAAAUGCUUAGAUAUCACGAAGAACCCCGAUUGCGAAGGCAGCCUGCUGUAGCGCUACUGACGCUGAAGCUCGAAAGUGCGGGUAUCGAACAGGAUUAGAUACCCCAGUAGUCC
Molecule: ribosomal RNA, 445 nt
Filed under: uncultured bacterium
Lineage: Bacteria
Description: partial 16S ribosomal RNA
Rfam family: Bacterial small subunit ribosomal RNA
Source: RNAcentral